UACGUAGGGUGCGAGCGUUAAUCGGAAUUACUGGGCGUAAAGCGUGCGCAGGCGGUUCGUUGUGUCGGCGGUGAAAGCCCCGGGCUUAACCUGGGAAUGGCCGUCGAAACUGGCGAACUGGAGUGUGGCAGAGGGGGGUGGAAUUCCGCGUGUAGCAGUGAAAUGCGUAGAGAUGCGGAGGAACACCGAUGGCGAAGGCAGCCCCCUGGGCUGACACUGACGCCCAGGCACGAAAGCGUGGGGAGCAAACAGG
RNAcentral lists this ribosomal RNA (253 nucleotides) under uncultured bacterium. RNAcentral describes it as "partial 16S ribosomal RNA". It matches the Rfam family "Bacterial small subunit ribosomal RNA", at positions 524 to 776 of the family's 1533-position model. The record is from RNAcentral.